UACGAAGGGGGCUAGCGUUGCUCGGAAUCACUGGGCGUAAAGCGCACGUAGGCGGACUCCUAAGUCGGUGGUGAAAUCCUGGAGCUCAACUCCAGAACUGCCUUUGAUACUGAAGAUCUUGAGUUCGGGAGAGGUGAGUGGAACUGCGAGUGUAGAGGUGAAAUUCGUAGAUAUUCGCAAGAACACCAGUGGCGAAGGCGGCUCACUGGCCCGAUACUGACGCUGAGGCACGAAAGCGUGGGGAGCAAACAGGGA
RNAcentral lists this ribosomal RNA (255 nucleotides) under uncultured bacterium. Its description in RNAcentral is "partial 16S ribosomal RNA". It matches the Rfam family "Bacterial small subunit ribosomal RNA", at positions 524 to 778 of the family's 1533-position model. The record is from RNAcentral.